Molecule: transfer RNA, 69 nt
Filed under: Enchelycore pardalis (leopard moray eel)
Lineage: Eukaryota; Metazoa; Chordata; Actinopteri; Anguilliformes; Muraenidae
Description: tRNA-Glu
Rfam family: tRNA
About the family: Transfer RNA (tRNA) molecules are approximately 80 nucleotides in length. Their secondary structure includes four short double-helical elements and three loops (D, anti-codon, and T loops).
Source: RNAcentral
GUUUCUAUAGUUGAAUUACAACGGUGGUUUUUCGUAUCAUUGGUCCUGGUUAAACUCCGGGUGGAAACC